CAGCCGCCGCGGUAAUACCGGCGGCCCGAGUGGCGGCCACUCUUAUUGGGCCUAAAGCGUCCGUAGCCGGGCUGGUAAGUCCCCCGGGAAAUCUGGCGGCUUAACCGUCAGAAUUCCGGGGGAUACUGCCAGCCUAGGGACCGGGAGAGGCCGGGGGUAUUCCCGGGGUAGGGGUGAAAUCCUGUAAUCCCGGGAGGACCACCUGUGGCGAAGGCGCUCGGCUGGAACGGGUCCGACGGUGAGGGACGAAGGCCAGGGGAGCGAACCGGAUUAGAUACCCGGGUAGUCCUGGCUGUAAACGAUGCGGACUAGGUGUCGGGCAAGCUAAGGGCUUGUCCGGUGCCGCAGGGAAGCCGUUAAGUCCGCCGCCUGGGGAGUACGGCCGCAAGGUUGAAACUUAAAGGAAUUGGCGGG
This 414-nucleotide ribosomal RNA is filed under the name uncultured microorganism. RNAcentral's name for it is "bacterial SSU rRNA". It matches the Rfam family "Archaeal small subunit ribosomal RNA", at positions 459 to 872 of the family's 1478-position model. The record is from RNAcentral.